Molecule: ribosomal RNA, 1430 nt
Filed under: Ligilactobacillus salivarius
Lineage: Bacteria; Bacillati; Bacillota; Bacilli; Lactobacillales; Lactobacillaceae
Description: bacterial SSU rRNA
Rfam family: Bacterial small subunit ribosomal RNA
Source: RNAcentral
AUGCAAGUCGAACGAAACUUUCUUACACCGAAUGCUUGCAUUCACCGUAAGAAGUUGAGUGGCGGACGGGUGAGUAACACGUGGGUAACCUGCCUAAAAGAAGGGGAUAACACUUGGAAACAGGUGCUAAUACCGUAUAUAUCUAAGGAUCGCAUGAUCCUUAGAUGAAAGAUGGUUCUGCUAUCGCUUUUAGAUGGACCCGCGGCGUAUUAACUAGUUGGUGGGGUAACGGCCUACCAAGGUGAUGAUACGUAGCCGAACUGAGAGGUUGAUCGGCCACAUUGGGACUGAGACACGGCCCAAACUCCUACGGGAGGCAGCAGUAGGGAAUCUUCCACAAUGGACGCAAGUCUGAUGGAGCAACGCCGCGUGAGUGAAGAAGGUCUUCGGAUCGUAAAACUCUGUUGUUAGAGAAGAACACGAGUGAGAGUAACUGUUCAUUCGAUGACGGUAUCUAACCAGCAAGUCACGGCUAACUACGUGCCAGCAGCCGCGGUAAUACGUAGGUGGCAAGCGUUGUCCGGAUUUAUUGGGCGUAAAGGGAACGCAGGCGGUCUUUUAAGUCUGAUGUGAAAGCCUUCGGCUUAACCGGAGUAGUGCAUUGGAAACUGGAAGACUUGAGUGCAGAAGAGGAGAGUGGAACUCCAUGUGUAGCGGUGAAAUGCGUAGAUAUAUGGAAGAACACCAGUGGCGAAAGCGGCUCUCUGGUCUGUAACUGACGCUGAGGUUCGAAAGCGUGGGUAGCAAACAGGAUUAGAUACCCUGGUAGUCCACGCCGUAAACGAUGAAUGCUAGGUGUUGGAGGGUUUCCGCCCUUCAGUGCCGCAGCUAACGCAAUAAGCAUUCCGCCUGGGGAGUACGACCGCAAGGUUGAAACUCAAAGGAAUUGACGGGGGCCCGCACAAGCGGUGGAGCAUGUGGUUUAAUUCGAAGCAACGCGAAGAACCUUACCAGGUCUUGACAUCCUUUGACCACCUAAGAGAUUAGGCUUUCCCUUCGGGGACAAAGUGACAGGUGGUGCAUGGCUGUCGUCAGCUCGUGUCGUGAGAUGUUGGGUUAAGUCCCGCAACGAGCGCAACCCUUGUUGUCAGUUGCCAGCAUUAAGUUGGGCACUCUGGCGAGACUGCCGGUGACAAAUCGGAGGAAGGUGGGGACGACGUCAAGUCAUCAUGCCCCUUAUGACCUGGGCUACACACGUGCUACAAUGGACGGUACAACGAGUCGCGAGACCGCGAGGUUUAGCUAAUCUCUUAAAGCCGUUCUCAGUUCGGAUUGUAGGCUGCAACUCGCCUACAUGAAGUCGGAAUCGCUAGUAAUCGCGAAUCAGCAUGUCGCGGUGAAUACGUUCCCGGGCCUUGUACACACCGCCCGUCACACCAUGAGAGUUUGUAACACCCAAAGCCGGUGGGGUAACCGCAAGGAGCCAGCCG